RNAcentral lists this ribosomal RNA (631 nucleotides) under uncultured bacterium. RNAcentral describes it as "bacterial SSU rRNA". It matches the Rfam family "Bacterial small subunit ribosomal RNA", at positions 68 to 732 of the family's 1533-position model. The record is from RNAcentral.
GAAGUAGUGCCUAUGCGCUAUUUAGUGGCAAACGGGUGAGUAACACGUAGCUUAGCUGUCCUAAAGUGGGGGAUAGCCGCGGGAAGCCGCGGGUAAUACCGCAUGUGAUCUACGGAUUAAAGCUUAAUGCGCUUUAGGAGGUGGCUGCGGCCCAUCAGGUUGUUGGCGGGGUAAUGGCCCACCAAGCCUAUGACGGGUAUCCGGCCUGAGAGGGUGAUCGGACACAUUGGAACUGAGACACGGUCCAGACUCCUACGGGAGGCAGCAGCUAGGAAUUUUCCGCAAUGGACGAAAGUCUGACGGAGCAACGCCGCGUGAAGGAUGAAGGUCUUUAGGGAUUGUAAACUUCUUUUAUAUGAGACGAGUAAGGACGGUAUCAUAAGAAUAAGUCCCGGCUAACUACGUGCCAGCAGCCGCGGUAAUACGUAGGGGGCUAGCGUUGUUCGGAAUUACUGGGUAUAAAGGGUGCGCAGGCGGAUUUCUAAGCAAGAGGUGAAAUGUCAAGGCUCAACCAUGGCACUGCCUUUUGAACUGGUUAUCUGGAGUACAGAAGGGGAGAGCAGAAUUUCCGGUGUAGGGGUGGAAUCUAUAGAUAUCGGAAGGAAUACCGUUCGCGAAGGCGGCUCUCUGG